RNAcentral lists this unclassified non-coding RNA (329 nucleotides) under plant metagenome. Its description in RNAcentral is "partial contains 5.8S ribosomal RNA, internal transcribed spacer 2, and large subunit ribosomal RNA". The stretch from base 1 to 105 matches the Rfam family "5.8S ribosomal RNA", at positions 50 to 154 of the family's 154-position model. The record is from RNAcentral.
GAAAUGCGAUAAGUAAUGUGAAUUGCAGAAUUCCGUGAAUCAUCGAAUCUUUGAACGCACAUUGUGCCCUCUGGUAUUCCGGGGGGCAUGCCUGUCCGAGCGUCAUUGCGAACCCCUCAAGCACGGCUUGUGUGAUGGGCCCUCCCGCGUCUUGGUCGUCAAGACGGGCCCGAAAUGCAGUGGCGGCUUCGCGGUUAUCCGAUCAGCCAGAGCGUAUGGGGACUUUCUCUCUGUCACACGCCCGCGGCGCGGACCGACGCCUGUCGACCUUUAUUCAUCUUUUUCUCGGUUGACCUCGGAUCAGGUAGGGAUACCCGCUGAACUUAAGC